This 243-nucleotide ribosomal RNA is filed under the name uncultured bacterium. RNAcentral's name for it is "partial 16S ribosomal RNA". It matches the Rfam family "Bacterial small subunit ribosomal RNA", at positions 15 to 249 of the family's 1533-position model. The record is from RNAcentral.
GAUCUGGCUCAGGAUGAACGCUAGCUACAGGCUUAACACAUGCAAGUCGAGGGGCAGCAUUUUAGUUUGCUUGCAAACUGAAGAUGGCGACCGGCGCACGGGUGAGUAACACGUAUCCAACCUGCCGAUAACUCCGGAAUAGCCUUUCGAAAGAAAGAUUAAUACCGGAUAGCAUACGAAUAUCGCAUGAUAUUUUUAUUAAAGAAUUUCGGUUAUCGAUGGGGAUGCGUUCCAUUAGUUUGG